ACGGGAGGCAGCAGUGGGGAAUAUUGGACAAUGGGCGGAAGCCUGAUCCAGCAACGCCGCGUGAGGGAUGACGGCCUUCGGGUUGUAAACCUCUUUCAGCAGGGACGAAGCGGAAGUGACGGUACCUGCAGAAGAAGCACCGGCCAACUACGUGCCAGCAGCCGCGGUAAUACGUAGGGUGCGAGCGUUGUCCGGAAUUACUGGGCGUAAAGAGCUCGUAGGUGGUUUGUCGCGUCGUCUGUGAAAUUCCGGGGCUUAACUCCGGGCGUGCAGGCGAUACGGGCAUAACUUGAGUGCUGUAGGGGAGACUGGAAUUCCUGGUGUAGCGGUGAAAUGCGCAGAUAUCAGGAGGAACACCGGUGGCGAAGGCGGUUCUCUGGGCAUUACCUGACGCUGAGAAGCGAAAGCGUGGGGAGCAAACAGGCUUAGAU
RNAcentral lists this ribosomal RNA (431 nucleotides) under Chloropicon mariensis. RNAcentral's name for it is "partial Bacterial small subunit ribosomal RNA". It matches the Rfam family "Bacterial small subunit ribosomal RNA", at positions 341 to 783 of the family's 1533-position model. Lineage: Eukaryota; Viridiplantae; Chlorophyta; Chloropicophyceae; Chloropicales; Chloropicaceae. The record is from RNAcentral.